UGCAAGUCGAGGGGCAGCGGGGUAGCAAUACUGCCGGCGACCGGCGCACGGGUGCGUAACACGUAUGCAACCUACCUUAAACUGGGAGAUAGCCCGGGGAAACUCGGAUUAAUACCCCAUAACACAGUGAGGCCUCAUGGUUUUAUUGUUAAAGAUUUAUCGGUUUAAGAUGGGCAUGCGUUCGAUUAGCUAGUUGGUGAGGUAAUGGCUCACCAAGGCUACGAUCGAUAGGGGGUCUGAGAGGAUGAUCCCCCACACUGGUACUGAGAUACGGACCAGACUCCUACGGGAGGCAGCAGUAGGGAAUAUUGGUCAAUGGAGGCAACUCUGAACCAGCCAUGCCGCGUGUAGGAAGAAGGCGUUCUGCGUUGUAAACUACUUUUGAUUGGGAACAAAUGACUCUUGCGAGAGUAGCUGAGUGUACCAAUAGAAUAAGCCACGGCUAACUACGUGCCAGCAGCCGCGGUAAUACGUAGGUGGCAAGCGUUGUCCGGAUUUAUUGGGUUUAAAGGGUGCGUAGGCGGCUUUGUAAGUCAGUGGUGAAAGCCGAUCGCUUAACGAUCGAACUGCCAUUGAUACUGUAGGGCUUGAGUAUAGAUGAGGUAGGCGGAAUUGACAGUGUAGCGGUGAAAUGCAUAGAUAUUGUCAAGAACACCAAUUGCGAAGGCAGCUUACUAAGUUAUAACUGACGCUGAGGCACGAAAGUGCGGGGAUCAAACAGGAUUAGAUACCCUGGUAGUCCGCACCGUAAACGAUGAUCACUCGCUGUGUGCGAUAAACAGUACGCGGCCAAGCGAAAGCGAUAAGUGAUCCACCUGGGGAGUACGCCCGCAAGGGUGAAACUCAAAGGAAUUGACGGGGGUCC
RNAcentral lists this ribosomal RNA (865 nucleotides) under uncultured soil bacterium. RNAcentral's name for it is "bacterial SSU rRNA". It matches the Rfam family "Bacterial small subunit ribosomal RNA", at positions 56 to 922 of the family's 1533-position model. The record is from RNAcentral.